This 71-nucleotide non-coding RNA is filed under the name Leptolinea tardivitalis. RNAcentral describes it as "Fluoride sequence". It matches the Rfam family "Fluoride riboswitch aptamer (crcB RNA motif)". Lineage: Bacteria; Bacillati; Chloroflexota; Anaerolineae; Anaerolineales; Anaerolineaceae. The record is from Rfam by way of RNAcentral.
AAUCAAUUAAGCGAUGAAGCUCGCUCGGAAAUAAUCAAACUGUCUUUAUGGCUGAUAGCUUCUGCCUUAAA